CAGGACGAACGCUGGCGGCGUGCCUAAUACAUGCAAGUCGAACGGCUUUUCUAUGGAAGCUUGCUUCCACUGAGAAGAUAGUGGCGAACGGGUGAGUAACACGUGGGUAACCUGCCCAUAAGAGGGGGAUAACAUCCGGAAACGGGUGCUAAUACCGCAUAGUUUUCUUGAUUGCAUGAUUGAGAAAGGAAAGACGGCCUUUGUGCUGUCGCUUAUGGAUGGACCCGCGGCGUAUUAGUUAGUUGGUGAGGUAACGGCUCACCAAGACGAUGAUGCGUAGCCGACCUGAGAGGGUGAUCGGCCACAUUGGGACUGAGACACGGCCCAGACUCCUACGGGAGGCAGCAGUGGGGAAUAUUGCACAAUGGGGGAAACCCUGAUGCAGCCAACGCCGCGUGAGUGAUGACGGCCUUCGGGUUGUAAAGCUCUGUCUUCAGGGACGAUAAUGACGGUACCUGAGGAGGAAGCCACGGCUAACUACGUGCCAGCAGCAGC
RNAcentral lists this ribosomal RNA (495 nucleotides) under uncultured bacterium. RNAcentral describes it as "bacterial SSU rRNA". It matches the Rfam family "Bacterial small subunit ribosomal RNA", at positions 25 to 518 of the family's 1533-position model. The record is from RNAcentral.